CCUACGGGGGGCUGCAGUGGGGAAUAUUGGACAAUGGGCGAAAGCCUGAUCCAGCCAUGCCGCGUGUGUGAAGAAGGCCUUCGGGUUGUAAAGCACUUUCAGUGGGGAAGAAAGCCUUGGGGCUAAUACCCUCGAGGAAGGACAUCACCCACAGAAGAAGCACCGGCUAACUCCGUGCCAGCAGCCGCGGUAAUACGGAGGGUGCGAGCGUUAAUCGGAAUUACUGGGCGUAAAGCGCGCGUAGGCGGUCUGAUAAGCCGGUUGUGAAAGCCCCGGGCUCAACCUGGGAACGGCAUCCGGAACUGUCAGGCUAGAGUGCAGGAGAGGAAGGUAGAAUUCCCGGUGUAGCGGUGAAAUGCGUAGAGAUCGGGAGGAAUACCAGUGGCGAAGGCGGCCUUCUGGACCGACACUGACGCUGAGGUGCGAAAGCGUGGGUAGCAAACAGGAUUAGAUACCCGAGUAGU
RNAcentral lists this ribosomal RNA (464 nucleotides) under Vreelandella stevensii. RNAcentral describes it as "partial 16S ribosomal RNA". It matches the Rfam family "Bacterial small subunit ribosomal RNA", at positions 338 to 794 of the family's 1533-position model. The record is from RNAcentral. Lineage: Bacteria; Pseudomonadati; Pseudomonadota; Gammaproteobacteria; Oceanospirillales; Halomonadaceae.